GCAUUUUCAGCGACCAAUCAGCGGCGCGGAAUCCACUCCGCAGUAAGCCAAUAGGGAGAAUGGGAGGCUCUAUCGAAUUUGAAUGAGGAGUGUAUCUUUCGGCGCCAUUUUCGAGUGAGCAGCGAUUGCCUCAGCAGCUGCGGAGAGAGGAUGCUGACGCUGAAGACGGAGAGAGAGAGAGAGAGAGAGAGAGAGAGGGAGAGAGAGGAGAAAACCCGGAGCGCUCAACAUUAAACAGCGGCUUUUUUUUAUAGAGAGAGAGAGAGAGAGAGAGGGGGGACUCGUUGUAUUCUCAAUGGAAACACAGGUGGGGAACCUCUUUGCCCUACAGGAGCCAACAGAAGUCUGCACAGGAUGCUGCUGACCUUAAGUGUAUAAAAGUCUGUGCCCAUUUGGUUGGACCAGAAGUCUGCAGGACAAGGAAAGUGCAAUUAAAAACAGGAGGAUAAGAAGAGCGGGAAGCAGAAGGACCCAUGGAUGCAGUUCUGGCAAUGCUGUAGCAGCACGGAAUGGUUUGUGGGUUACACUGAGAUGCAGGCCAUACUGUGCUGCCGCAAUAAAGCCUGAAAACACAACCUGGCUGUCCCAUCUGCACAGCUUUACCUGUUGCCUUUUUUUCACAGAUUGUAUACUUAACUAAGACUUUUGUAAUUCAUUCUCCUGAGUACUGCCAUCUUCAUUAUUGUUCUUCUGAUACUGAAAAACUUAGCGGAGUUCUCCUCUCAUCUGCUGGUCGCCUUACUGUAGCAGCACGUAAAUAUUGGAGUUAAGACUCUAGCUGAAGCCUCCAGUAUUGAUCGUGCUGCUGAAGCAAAGCUGACCACUCACAGUCAGAGCAAUCCAACCACUCUGUGAACUCCAGGGAUGCUUACAGGUACAUUGAUCACACAGAUUUAGGUAACCUCUAAGACGGUCUUGAUAUAAAAAUGUUAAUUUCUACACACAAUCCUCUUUACAUGUCUGCACACUUGAAAUAAAGAAAAGAAAAAUGAAUUG
Long non-coding RNA from Labrus bergylta (ballan wrasse), 996 nucleotides. RefSeq lists it as uncharacterized. Lineage: Eukaryota; Metazoa; Chordata; Actinopteri; Labriformes; Labridae. The record is from RefSeq and is a predicted model, not a curated record.